Molecule: ribosomal RNA, 422 nt
Filed under: uncultured bacterium
Lineage: Bacteria
Description: partial 16S ribosomal RNA
Rfam family: Bacterial small subunit ribosomal RNA
Source: RNAcentral
GAAUCUUCCACAAUGGACGAAAGUCUGAUGGAGCAAUGCCGCGUGAGCGAAGAAGGUUUUCGGAUCGUAAAGCUCUGUUGUAAGGGAAGAACACGUACGGGAGUAACUGCCCGGUCCAUGACGAUACCUUAUGAGAAAGCCACGGCGCACGACACGCCAGCAGCCGCGGUAAUACUUAGGUGGGAAGCGUUGUCCGGAAUUCUUGGGCGUAAAACGCGCGCAGGCUGUUCUUUAAGUCUGAUGUGAAAGCCCACGGCUCAACCGUGGAGGGUCAUUGGAAACUGGAGAACUUGAGUACAGAAGAGGAAAGCGGAAUUCCACGUGUAGCGGUGAAAUGCGUAGAGAUGUGGAGGAACACCAGUGGCGAAGGCGGCUUUCUGGUCUGUAACUGACGCUGAGGCGCGAAAGCGUGGGGAGCAAAC